This 253-nucleotide ribosomal RNA is filed under the name uncultured bacterium. RNAcentral describes it as "partial 16S ribosomal RNA". It matches the Rfam family "Bacterial small subunit ribosomal RNA", at positions 524 to 776 of the family's 1533-position model. The record is from RNAcentral.
UACGAAGGGGGCUAGCGUUGCUCGGAAUCACUGGGCGUAAAGCGCACGUAGGCGGAUUGUUAAGUCAGGGGUGAAAUCCUGGAGCUCAACUCCAGAACUGCCUUCGAUACUGGAGAGCUUGAGUCCGGGAGAGGUGAGUGGAACUGCGAGUGUAGAGGUGAAAUUCGUAGAUAUUCGCAAGAACACCAGUGGCGAAGGCGGCUCACUGGCCCGGUACUGACGCUGAGGUGCGAAAGCGUGGGGAGCAAACAGG